UUAGUAUUCUACACCCAACUGACCCAUCCAGCCCACAAAUCAACCAGCUAAUCCAAACCCGGCUCCCACCACCCAGCCAGCCCACCCCUCCCGAGCCGUCCCCCAAGCUAUCCAGCUUUUGCGUUCAGCGAGCACAAGCCGCGAGCGCGCGGAGCGCGGCGAGCGGCGAGUGUGAGACCUCCCCGGAUCGACGGCGCAUGGGGCCAUCGGGAGCUACGGUGGGCGCGGCCAGCAGGGCCGUUGCGCGCAGGCCGGCGAGAGGCAACGGCCGCGGCCUUCGCAGGGAGCGGCGGUAGGCGCGGCCUGUGCGUGGAGCGGCGGCGCGGUUUUGUGGAGAGCCGCGACGGUGCAGCCUGCACGGAAAAGCGACCUGCGCAGAUGCGCGCGCGGUGCACGGGGAGCGGGGAGCGCAGCACACGGGUGGAACAGAGAUGGAGCACACGCAUGCUAGGAUUUAGGCGCAGCUCCCCUCAUCCACAUAAUCUCUCUGAUUUGGAUGUGAUAAUAGGUAAUGGAUAUCUGCCUCAGCAAUUGAGCUCUCUCAUCACCCAAAUCUCUACACCCCCAAUUGAUUUUGCUGUGUAAUUAUGUAGGCACACGCGGUAUGGCCCAGCAGGAGCAACUCGAGGAGCAGCAUAGCCAGCGGGGGCGGCGCAAGGAGCAGUGCAGCUGGCUAGCAGCGCCGGUUUGAGGAGCAGGGGCGCGCGGCAGAGGGAGCAAAGGCGCCCCGGCCUGCAACUGGGGAGGUGGCGACGCAGGUAGCAGCAGUGGUUUUCUUGGGGUUAUGUUGGAAAUGGAGACACGCUGAUCCCAUCAAGCUGGUCGUUAUGCAGGCAACGUCACUAACAAAUUGAGAUUGGAGCUGUGACUGGUGUCUUACUUGCUGCUACCCUAUUCAUUGGCUUUGGAUCUUUGUCCCUUUUCCUCAAAUUAUUGAUGUUGAUGCGAGUACUCUCUAUGCAUUAGCACCUUACUGUGGCCAGCGGGAGAGUUGGAAACAAAACCAUGUAACUGAUGCUGCAAAUAAGACUUGAUACUUUUUGCUUUUGUUUCUCUGAAAUAAAGUGGGAACAUCCUUAACUGUGUGGCAGAUAGCAAGGUAGCUCAUGUAUCUCUAUGGAAGUAUGUAGACAGUAACAAAAUCAUGUACAUGCUUGGAUUCAGUAACGAGGAGAUUCAGUUAUUCAGUA
Panicum virgatum (switchgrass) is the source of this 1190-nucleotide long non-coding RNA. RefSeq lists it as uncharacterized. The record is from RefSeq and is a predicted model, not a curated record. The transcript is spliced from 3 exons. Lineage: Eukaryota; Viridiplantae; Streptophyta; Magnoliopsida; Poales; Poaceae.